Molecule: long non-coding RNA, 1086 nt
Filed under: Amborella trichopoda
Lineage: Eukaryota; Viridiplantae; Streptophyta; Magnoliopsida; Amborellales; Amborellaceae
Description: long non-coding RNA (ATRI_LNC004542)
Source: RNAcentral
GUCCACAAGGUCUCUCUUCUGGGUCACGAGAGUGCCAUGAUUCGAUAUCCCAUGGUCGGCAAGGUCUCUCUUCUGUGUCACGAGAGGAGAGUGCCAUGAUUUGAAGAAGGAAAGGCGAGCGACCCACCAAAUAAAGGUGAGCACAUGAAGGGACCUCCCACUUAUGAUUACGCAUGAAAUCAAGGCCAAGUUAGUUGAGAUGGGAAUUUUUUUUUUUUUUUUCUUAUUUAUUUUCCUUGGGUCUUUGUGAAGUAGUUUCUAGCUCUUAUUUAAACCCCCGACCACCACCUCCACCUCCACCUCCACCUCCAUGAAUAAAUCAUACCCACAACAAUGAAGCCCAUAACUAAAUCCCUUGUCUUCCUUUGCUUCUUUCUCUCGUUAAUUUUGAUGCAGACAGCUGCUGAUUUUUGGAAUUCCGGCGAAAAUUCUGGCAAAGUGAGGGAUUAUCAUAGCGAGAUGGCGAAGAAAAAAGAGUGGAGGAACCAUGGAAGCUGGCGAGGAAGGCGAGAGCGUCUCGUUACAAAGGGUUACACAAAUGUUCGUCAAGUCCGAAAGCUGCUAGGACAUAUUUUUUAUUGAAGAGAUUGCUCUUCACCAUGUGUUAAUGUUCAAAAAAAAAAAGAAGAGAUUGCUCUUCACUCUCUCUCUCUCACACACAUGCCUAAACUUUGGGAAUUUGAGAGUUUAUGAAUCUGAUCAUUGAAAGUUACUGUAAUGAAGCUCUCUCUCUCUCAAUUCACAGGUAGAGACAAUACUAGGCAGGUCAACCCACCUACAUGACAACUUUGCCACAGUUCUUUUACUGGUCUAGAGUUCUAUGAAGUUUACUGCUGGAGCUUUGUGCUGGGCUUGAUCCUACAUAGAAAGCAGAACUUACCGUGAUGUCUGACUUAGAAGAUGACUGGAGUUUUGUAAUGAAUGGCCUUUACUGUGAAUAGAAACAUGACUACCAUCUCCGGAUUAAAAUAUGAAGACGGUUUCUGCAGAAAGUUGAGACAAUCACAUUUUCUUGAAGUUCAGUACCCUCGUCUUGAAUUAAAUGCAUGGAAAAUGUCAUGGUUAAACCAAUUCAAAAAAUCAAUG